GAGAAACAGGGACAGCAGGUCGCAGUGACAAGGGGGUCCCGACUGUUUAAUAAAAACACAGGAAGCUGCUAGCCCGAAAGGGUGUGUAUAGCUUUUGAAUCCUGGCCAGCAACGGUACCUAAAACCUGGGUUCAACUGGGCUAAGGGCCGUUUAGCGCCGGGAGUAACUCUGACUCUCUUAAGGUAGCCAAAUGCCUUGUCGGGUAAGUUCCGACGUGCAUGAAUGGAACAACGAGGGCCCUACUGUCCCCGUCUACUACCCGGCGAACCCACGUAACGUGGACGAACAGUCCACGAACUUCUAUCGGGAAGAGAAGACCCUGUGGAGCUUUACUGCAGCUUGUUGUUGUGAUACGACUAUGAUUGCAGAGUGUAGCUGGGAGUUGUUAUGCACAUACUUUUGGGUAUGUGAUAGACAAAAGUGUAACACCAGCCUCUCAUAGUUUUAUCGCUCACCGGGAAACCGGGACACCGGCAGGUGGGCAGUUUGGCUGGGGCGGCACCCCCUUGAAAAAAUAUCGAGGGGGCCCAAAGGUCGGCUCAGGUGGGACAGAAAUCCACCGUAGAGGGCAAGGCUAAAAGCCGGCCUGACUGGGUUCUCAAAAGCACAGAACCCAGGAGCGAAAGCUUGGCCUAGCGAUCCUCCAGGUCCCCACUGUUGGGGGCUGAAGGUGACAGAAAAGUUACCCCAGGGAUAACAGGCUUGUCGCGGGUGAGAGCUCAAAUCGACCCCGCGGAUUGGUACCUCGAUGUCGGCUCUUCCCAUCCUGGUCCUGCAGCAGGGGCCAAGGGUGGGGCUGCUCGCCCAUCAAAGGGGAACGUGAGCUGGGUUUAGACCGUCGUGAGACAGGUCGGCCUCUAUCUGAUAGAAGCGAUGGCCGUCUGAGGGGAAGUUGUCCUCAGUACGAGAGGAACAGGGCAACGUAGCCUCUGGCGUACCGGUUGUCUGAUAAGGCAGUUGCCGGGCAGCUAAGCUAUUGAGGAUAAGAGCUGAAAGCAUCUAAGCUCGAAGCCUCUCCUGAGAAUAGACCGCCUUCCACAUUUCUACUUCUUUCGGGAAGUAGGUGUGGACAAGAGCUGGGAAAGAAGAUCCCGUUGAU
This 1100-nucleotide ribosomal RNA is filed under the name marine metagenome. RNAcentral's name for it is "bacterial LSU rRNA". It matches the Rfam family "Archaeal large subunit ribosomal RNA", at positions 1856 to 2912 of the family's 2987-position model. The record is from RNAcentral.